RNAcentral lists this ribosomal RNA (270 nucleotides) under uncultured Blautia sp. Its description in RNAcentral is "partial 16S ribosomal RNA". It matches the Rfam family "Bacterial small subunit ribosomal RNA", at positions 70 to 339 of the family's 1533-position model. Lineage: Bacteria; Bacillati; Bacillota; Clostridia; Lachnospirales; Lachnospiraceae. The record is from RNAcentral.
AAGCUUCGGCAGAUUUAGCUGGUUUCUAGUGGCGGACGGGUGAGUAACGCGUGGGUAACCUGCCUUAUACAGGGGAUAACAGUCAGAAAUGGCUGCUAAUACCGCAUAAGCGCACAGAGCUGCAUGGCUCAGUGUGAAAACUCCGGUGGUAUAAGAUGGACCCGUGUUGGAUUAGCUAGUUGGUGAGGUAACGGCCCACCAAGGCGACGAUCCAUAGCCGACCUGAGAGGGUGUCCGGCCACAUUGGGACUGAGACACGGCCCAAACUCC